AUACGGAGGAUCCGAGCGUUAUCCGGAUUUAUUGGGUUUAAAGGGUGCGCAGGCGGCCAUUUAAGUCAGCGGUUAAAUCGUGGGGCUCAACCCCAUUCUGCCGUUGAUACUGGGUGGCUUGAUUGCGGUCGAGGUUGGCGGAAUUCGUUGUGUAGCGGUGAAAUGCAUAGAUAUGACGAAGAACACCGAUUGCGUAGGCAGCUGACCAGACCGCAAAUGACGCUCAUGCACGAAAGUGCGGGGAUCGAACAGGAUUAGAUACCCUGGUAGUCCGCACAGUAAACGAUGAAUACUUGUUCUCGGCGAUAUAAUGUCGGAGGCAAAGCGAAAGCGAUAAGUAUUCCACCUGGGGAGUACGCCGGCAACGGUGAAACUCAAAGGAAUUGACGGGG
RNAcentral lists this ribosomal RNA (392 nucleotides) under uncultured bacterium. RNAcentral describes it as "partial 16S ribosomal RNA". It matches the Rfam family "Bacterial small subunit ribosomal RNA", at positions 523 to 918 of the family's 1533-position model. The record is from RNAcentral.